Molecule: long non-coding RNA, 278 nt
Filed under: Elaeis guineensis (African oil palm)
Lineage: Eukaryota; Viridiplantae; Streptophyta; Magnoliopsida; Arecales; Arecaceae
Description: long non-coding RNA (EGUI_LNC034518)
Source: RNAcentral
CAGAAGAUUGAGGCGAAGGGAUACAAUGACGAAAAAGAGGAGAUUCUCAGGAGAGUAGCAGGGGGAAGUGCCAAAAAUGAAGAAGAACCCUUUUUAAAUAGAGGGAUGCACGGCCUUCAGAGGAUUUCAAAUCGAUAUGGAUUUUUAGUGCAUGCUACACAUCAGUCCCCUAUUGAUUAUGGGUAUACCGUUAGUUUCUGCAUUAAAUUUACCACAGCGAGAUGAAGACGGCAUCCGCAUAGAUUUUACAAUGAGCUCAUAAUUAUAUAUCAUCGUCA